CAAAAACAUCGCCUCCUGCAAAAAUCAAUGUAUAGGAGGUCCUACCUGCCCAGUGACUAAAUUAAACGGCCGCGGUAUUUUGACCGUGCAAAGGUAGCGCAAUCACUUGUUUUUUAAAUAAAGACCUGUAUGAAUGGUGAAACGAGGGCUUAACUGUCUCCUUUUUCUGAUCAGUGAAAUUGAUCUAUCCGUGCAGAAGCGGAUAUAAAAAUACAAGACGAGAAGACCCUAUGGAGCUUAAGACAAAAAAUCAACUAUGUUAAAAACCCCAAUAAAGGAAAAAAACAAAACAGCAACUGAUUAGCGUCUUCGGUUGGGGCGACUACGGGGGAAAACCAAUCCCCCACGUGGAAUAGAACACAAUUCUAAAACCAUGAGGUACACCUCUAAGUCACAGAACUUCUGACCAAAUGAUCCGGCAACUAGCCGAUCAACGAACCAAGUUACCCUAGGGAUAACAGCGCAAUCCCCUCCAAGAGUCCAUAUCGACAAGGGGGUUUACGACCUCGAUGUUGGAUCAGGACAUCCUAAUGGUGCAGCCGCUAUUAAGGGUUCGUUUGUUCAACGAUUAAAGUCCUACGUGAUCUGAG
Molecule: ribosomal RNA, 590 nt
Filed under: Oligosarcus hepsetus (pike characin)
Lineage: Eukaryota; Metazoa; Chordata; Actinopteri; Characiformes; Acestrorhamphidae
Description: partial 16S large subunit ribosomal RNA
Rfam family: Bacterial large subunit ribosomal RNA
Source: RNAcentral